Molecule: ribosomal RNA, 472 nt
Filed under: uncultured bacterium
Lineage: Bacteria
Description: bacterial SSU rRNA
Rfam family: Bacterial small subunit ribosomal RNA
Source: RNAcentral
UGGGGAAUAUUGGACAAUGGGCGAAAGCCUGAUCCAGCCAUGCCGCGUGUGUGAAGAAGGUCUUCGGAUUGUAAAGCACUUUAAGUUGGGAGGAAGGGCAGUUACCUAAUACGUGAUUGUUUUGACGUUACCGACAGAAUAAGCACCGGCUAACUCUGUGCCAGCAGCCGCGGUAAUACAGAGGGUGCAAGCGUUAAUCGGAAUUACUGGGCGUAAAGCGCGCGUAGGUGGUUUGUUAAGUUGGAUGUGAAAUCCCCGGGCUCAACCUGGGAACUGCAUUCAAAACUGACAAGCUAGAGUAUGGUAGAGGGUGGUGGAAUUUCCUGUGUAGCGGUGAAAUGCGUAGAUAUAGGAAGGAACACCAGUGGCGAAGGCGACCACCUGGACUGAUACUGACACUGAGGUGCGAAAGCGUGGGGAGCAAACAGGAUUAGAUACCCGUGUAGUCCCUGAGCGGGCUGGCAAGGCGCAU